RNAcentral lists this Y RNA (103 nucleotides) under Prolemur simus (greater bamboo lemur). RNAcentral's name for it is "Y RNA (ENSPSMG00000000575.1)". It matches the Rfam family "Y RNA". Rfam says of the family: Y RNAs are components of the Ro ribonucleoprotein particle (Ro RNP), in association with Ro60 and La proteins. The Y RNAs and Ro60 and La proteins are well conserved, but the function of the Ro RNP is not known. Lineage: Eukaryota; Metazoa; Chordata; Mammalia; Primates; Lemuridae. The record is from Rfam by way of RNAcentral.
AGUUGGUCCAAGUGCCAGUGGUGUUUACAACUCAUUGAUCGCAACCAGUUACAGAUUCCUUUGUUCCUUCUGCACUCCCACUGCUUCACUUGGCCAGCCUCUA